GGUUGGUCCAAGUGCAGUGGUGUUUACAACUAAUCGUUCACAACCAGUUAUCGAUUCCUUUGUUCCUUCUCCACUCCCACUGCUUCACUUGACCAGCCUUAA
RNAcentral lists this Y RNA (102 nucleotides) under Microcebus murinus (gray mouse lemur). Its description in RNAcentral is "Y RNA (ENSMICG00000042254.1)". It matches the Rfam family "Y RNA". From Rfam's summary of the family: Y RNAs are components of the Ro ribonucleoprotein particle (Ro RNP), in association with Ro60 and La proteins. Lineage: Eukaryota; Metazoa; Chordata; Mammalia; Primates; Cheirogaleidae. The record is from Rfam by way of RNAcentral.